UACGUAGGUGGCGAGCGUUGUCCAGAUUUACUGGGCGUAAAGGGCGCGUAGGCGGACAGUUUAGUCAGAGGUGAAAGCCCAGGGCUCAACCUUGGAAUUGCCUUUGAUACUGGCUGUCUUGAGUUCGGGAGAGGUGAGUGGAAUGCCGAGUGUAGAGGUGAAAUUCGUAGAUAUUCGGCGGAACACCAGUGGCGAAGGCGACUCACUGGCCCGAUACUGACGCUGAGGCGCGAAAGCGUGGGGAGCAAACAGG
This 253-nucleotide ribosomal RNA is filed under the name uncultured bacterium. RNAcentral's name for it is "partial 16S ribosomal RNA". It matches the Rfam family "Bacterial small subunit ribosomal RNA", at positions 524 to 776 of the family's 1533-position model. The record is from RNAcentral.